Salvelinus namaycush (lake trout) is the source of this 2660-nucleotide long non-coding RNA. RefSeq lists it as uncharacterized. NCBI's taxonomy places the organism in Eukaryota, Metazoa, Chordata, Actinopteri, Salmoniformes, Salmonidae. The record is from RefSeq and is a predicted model, not a curated record. The transcript has 4 exons.
UGUUCCCUUUAUUUUUUUGAGCAGUGUAUAUAUAUAUAUAUAUAUAUAGACAGUAUGCAUAGAAUCAUGUAAAGGAAAUGUACUUCCUCUUUCAAAUCUGUAUGGUGGGAUUCAAUCCAAGGCGCUAUAGUGCCAAGCACUAUAAAGCUGACAGUGCGUAUUUUAAAGUCAUUUUCACGGUAAGCGCUGUGUAUGUUGUCUGUGCUAUAGAGAAUGUGAUAUCUGUGUGUUUAUCGGUAGGUCAUCUAUAGAGAAUGUGAUAUCUGUGUGUUUAUCGGUAGGUCAUCUAUAGAGAAUGUGAUAUCUGUGUGUUUAUCGGUAGGUAAUCUAUAGAGAAUGUGAUAUCUGUGUGUUUAUCGGUAGGUCAUCUAUAGAGAAUGUGAUAUCUGUGUGUUUAUCGGUAGGUCAUCUAUAGAGAAUGUGAUAUCUGUGUGUUUAUCGGUAGGUAAUCUAUAGAGAAUGUGAUAUCUGUGUGUUUAUCGGUAGGUCAUCUAUAGAGAAUGUGAUAUCUGUGUGUUUAUCGGUAGGUCAUCUAUAGAGAAUGUGAUAUCUGUGUGUUUAUCGGUAGGUCAUCUAUAGAGAAUGUGAUAUCUGUGUGUUUAUCGGUAGGUCAUCUAUAGAGAAUGUGAUAUCUGUGUGUUUAUCGGUAGGUCAUCUAUAGAGAAUGUGAUAUCUGUGUGUUUAUCGGUAGGUCAUCUAUAGAGAAUGUGAUAUCUGUGUGUUUAUCGGUAGGUAAUCUAUAGAGAAUGUGAUAUCUGUGUGUUUAUCGGUAGGUCAUCUAUAGAGAAUGUGAUAUCUGUGUGUUUAUCGGUAGGUCAUCUAUAGAGAAUGUGAUAUCUGUGUGUUUAUCGGUAGGUCAUCUAUAGAGAAUGUGAUAUCUGUGUGUUUAUCGGUAGGUCAUCUAUAGAGAAUGUGAUAUCUGUGUGUUUAUCGGUAGGUCAUCUAUAGAGAAUGUGAUAUCUGUGUGUUUAUCGGUAGGUCAUCUAUAGAGAAUAUGAUAUCUGUGUGUUUAUCGGUAGGUCAUCUAUAGAGAAUAUGACAUGGACAAGUCAGGGUCCAUGAGCUCCUAUGAGAUGCGACUUGCUGUGGAGUCUGCAGGUUUUAAACUGAACAACAGACUGAAUCAGGUCCUAGUGGCUCGCUAUGCUGAGAACGAGGCCAUAGACUUUGACAACUUCAUCUGCUGUCUGGUCAAACUGGAAGCCAUGUUUAGAACUUUCCAGCAACUAGACAAAGAGGGAGACGGUGUGGCUGAGAUGAACAUCACUGAGUGGCUUUAUAUGACCAUGUGUGGUUGAAGAGGACCAGUCUUAUCCCAGGAGACAGAACAGCCAAGUGCCCGGCAGAGUGCCUCUUCCCUGGGACAGCCUUACUGUCCUCUGCCUGAUCCUGAACUAUAGGGCUGACCUGUACUGUACCGACUCAGAUAUCUUAUUUCCCCCUUGUCCUUUCCAGCACGGUUCCAGCUACUAUGGUGAAAGCAUAACCAGUUCAGUUCGGCCCUAUAGUGGGAAUCAGUUACUCUUGCCGAUCUACAUUACAGCACGCCACCUCACCCACGCCACUCCACCUCACCCACGCCACCUCAGCCUGCCAGCUACACUACAGCACGCCACCUCAGCCUGCCAGCUACAUUACAGCACGCCACCUCACCCACGCCACCUCACCCACGCCACCUCACCUCACCCACGCCACCUCACCCACGCCACCUCACCUCACCCACGCCACCUCACCUCACCCACGCCACCUCACCCACGCCACCUCACCCACGCCACCUCAGCCUGCCAGCUACACUACAGCACGCCACCUCAGCCAACCCCAUAUAGCAGUGAGGGUACGAUUAGCCAUGUAAUGCAGGGUGAGACCCUUCCAAGCUAAAGACCACACACCCCAUGCUACGGGCUUACUUAGCUAUACAAAAUGUUGGAAUUGUUUGAUAGAAAACAGUCACUGUAGAACUGUAGAUAUGUCUGUAAACAGCAUGGGUCAUAGUAGAACUUGUAUUGAAGACAUUAUUUGACUAUGCCCAGUAGGGGGCAGUAUUGACUAGUCUCAGAUCUGGUGUGUGGUUAUCACCUUACUGCAGUUGUAGAAUGUUACUGUGUAUGAGGAAAUGUAGUAUUUUAGUUAUUGAACUGAACAGCUAAAGUUCAGAUCUGGUUGAAAGUAUAGCAAAUCAUAGUUUUAUGGGUUUUAAAUAUUUCAUAUUCGGAUAUUAUUUUAGACACCGACCAAGUGGAUUGGAUUACAAUGCAGAUUAAAGGGAUGGUUCAUGGUUCAUCUAAUUUUGAUUUUGGGGUAUAAUUAAUCUUACCUUGAGUUGUCUAUAUGGAUGAAUUAUAAUUAAAACCCAAAAGGAAGCUGUGAGAGAACGAGUCCAACAUAAUAAUGAAAUCAAGCAAUGCCUACUGUACUAACAAGCUGUCUAACAAACUGUCUCUCGCUAUAAUGAGAUACAGCUUGUUAGUGACAUUUUAUAACACAUUUCAAAGUAGUAGAGAAGAGAUCACUUUUAUUUAUCUCUAUUAUUUCUGAUUUCAUCUAAUAUCUACAUGUUGCUGUUAGAGAAGUUCUGAUCGUGUCAACCCUGUCUCCUAAAGCUAGUGAUUGUGAAUGUAGGGUGUGCCUUCAAUAAAGACAUGUUCGUGUUAACUGACUCC